AAUUACAGAACUCGUAUAUCUAAUCCAUCAUAGCUAAAAAAGUUAUUAACUUAGUUGAUACUGUGAGGUCCUGAAAAAUAAGCUUAGGGCCAUUGGGCCUUAUUAUUUGGGGCAGCCAGAUCCAUAAGCUUAGAAUGCUUUAGCCAUAGAGGGAAGCCCUUCUUUUCCAAAAGUCAAAGUGUUCAUUUGCUACUUUCNCCUUCUCUCUAAACAGAAACCCUUUUCCCUAAAUAAUUGCUCUGCCUUCUCUCUAAGAUAUCCAAACACUGAACCGUUUAAUUUUUAGUUUGAAGGUGCCUAAACGUUCACAACGGCAAGGGCUUCAAUUUGAACCGAACAAUUUUCUGUUCCGACCGGUUCUGGAAGUUCAACGCGGUGUGGGUACGGUCCUAGGACCUUCUUGACCAGUUUACUAUUAAGCUUUCCAGGUAAGGGGAGCUACUUAUACUUUUAUUUUAUUUGUUGCGAAGUGACUGUUUGAGAAAUCUAAAUUGCUAUAUUUUGGUUCUACACAUCCCGUUUGGUAAGAACUAAUGAAUCUGUUUUGAGUGAUUAUGCAUGUUGAAUUAAAUAUGUGAUAUAUUGUGAGCAUGUGUUGUUACUGUCCUUAAGUGUUUAACUUAGUAUGCGCUGAAUUUGAUUGAAAUGAUGAUCCUGGGAAUGAUUCCUGUUUAUAUAUUGAUUGUGAUGUGCUNUGAAGGAAUUUGAUGAAUCUGAUUGCUGGAAUAAGUUGGGGUGAUACUGAUGGGAAAAAUGGGUUGAGUGUAGCCUCAGAUUCUGUGAGAGGGGAUGUAUAACUUUGGGAAUCAAGGAACUAAAAAUAAUAGGCUAGUUAUAUAACCAGCAAGGAAAUUGGGUUGUGUUGGAUUGAAAAAAAA
This is a long non-coding RNA of Vigna radiata var. radiata (mung bean), 878 nucleotides long. RefSeq lists it as uncharacterized. The transcript has 2 exons. The record is from RefSeq and is a predicted model, not a curated record. NCBI's taxonomy places the organism in Eukaryota, Viridiplantae, Streptophyta, Magnoliopsida, Fabales, Fabaceae.